RNAcentral lists this ribosomal RNA (346 nucleotides) under uncultured bacterium. Its description in RNAcentral is "partial 16S ribosomal RNA". It matches the Rfam family "Bacterial small subunit ribosomal RNA", at positions 338 to 701 of the family's 1533-position model. The record is from RNAcentral.
CCUACGGGCGGCAGCAGUGGGGAAUAGUGCACAAUGGGGGAAACCCUGAUGCAGCGACGCCGCGUGAGUGAAGAAGGAUUUCGGGAUGGAAAGCUCUAUCAGCAGGGAAGAGAAUGACGGUACCUGAGUAAGAAGCCCCGGCUAACGACGUGCCAGCAGCCGCGGGAAUACGUAGGGGGCAAGAGUUAUCCGGAGUUACUGGGUGUAAAGGGAGCGUAGACGGCGAAGCAAGUCUGAAGUGAAAGCCCGCGGCUCAACCGCGGAACUGCUUUUGAAACUUUUUUGCUGGAGUACCGGAGCGUUCAGCGGCAUUCCUCUUGUAGCGGUGACAUGCGUAGUUAUUAGG